AGAGUUUGAUCCUGGCUCAGGAUGAACGCUAGCGGAAGGCUUAAUACAUGCAAGUCGAGCGGUAGGUGGCUUCGGCCAUUGAGAGCGGCGCACGGGUGAGUAACGCGUACAUGACCUGCCUGUCAGAAGGGGAUAGCCCUGGGAAACUGGGAUUAAUACCCUAUGGUAUUGAUAUUAUGAAUGAUAUCAAUUAAAGUUGAGGCGCUGACAGAUGGAUGUGCGUCUGAUUAGCUAGUUGGUAGGGUAACGGCCUACCAAGGCGACGAUCAGUAGGGGGGCGUGAGAGCGUGGUCCCCCACACGGGUACUGAGACACGGACCCGACUCCUACGGGAGGCAGCAGUAAGGAAUAUUGGUCAAUGCCCGCAAGGGUGAACCAGCCAUUCCGCGUGGAGGAUGAAGGCCCUAUGGGUUGUAAACUUCUUUUAGAUGGGAAGAAAAUGCUAGAUGUAUCUGGUACUGACGGUACCAUCAGAAUAAGCACCGGCUAACUCCGUG
This 497-nucleotide ribosomal RNA is filed under the name uncultured bacterium. RNAcentral's name for it is "bacterial SSU rRNA". It matches the Rfam family "Bacterial small subunit ribosomal RNA", at positions 8 to 507 of the family's 1533-position model. The record is from RNAcentral.